UACAGAGGGGGCAAGCGUUGUUCGGAAUUACUGGGCGUAAAGGGCGCGUAGGCAGUCUGUCGCGUCGAAUGUGAAAACCCGGGGCUCAACCCCGGGCCUGCAUUCGAUACGGGCAGACUAGAGUUCGGUAGGGGAGUCUGGAAUUCCUGGUGUGAGCGGUGAAAUGCGCAGAUAUCAGGAGGAACACCGGUGGCGAAGGCGGGACUCUGGGCCGAUACUGACGCUGGAGGAGCGAAAGCGUGGGGAGCGAACAGG
RNAcentral lists this ribosomal RNA (255 nucleotides) under uncultured bacterium. Its description in RNAcentral is "partial 16S ribosomal RNA". It matches the Rfam family "Bacterial small subunit ribosomal RNA", at positions 524 to 776 of the family's 1533-position model. The record is from RNAcentral.